GUUUCAGGAAUGCGUGGGUGGUGCAGCAGCGAGCGAGAUAUUCGAAAAGACAAAACACGUCUGAGUUUUAAGCCCCAUCAAGUAUGUGCUUGUGUGUUGCUGGAUAUUUGGUUACACUCGACAUCCGUUUGUUGCGCUUCCAUCCACUGAUGUCUUUGGAAAGAUGGAGGCCACCUGAUGUGGAGUUUUUCAAAUGAUUAACUAUAAACGUUUGGCUCCUACUUACUUACUGUGUCACCUGGUGGUCAUGUGUUUGAAGAAUUUACACGCAUGUUGAACCUGAGAAAAUUAAGAAGGAGGCUUUCUUCUACUUGUGGAGUGGCUGCAGCAUCAGUACGAGGAGCAGAUAUGUGUCGGUGCGGACGCUCUAUUCCUUUGAAAUGAGCCAACAUAAUCCAGGACCACAUCCAAGGACCACAUGGAGGACAACUGGCAUCAUGGACCCCGGCCACCUCCACGGCCAGGACUCCUUCAGCCCGACUGACGGAGAUGAUCAAUGAGCAAAUGAUCCAUUCUCUUUGCAUUGCCACGUAGUUACAGAUGCAUCGUUACCACAGCAACCGAUGCAGAGAGAAACAGGCUGUGCAGCUGCUUGGAGCGCAAUUUCUUCAACCAGAUAACCAGUCCAGGUCCCGAAGGCACCUGAUGGACCCCCCCGCCCUCCCACCCGGCCCCCACAGCGCAUCUCAAUUCGACCGACCCUUCACAGCUCUGCCCGAACCGCCCAUCACCAACUCCAGACAGCGCCUGCUGCGCCGUGACUCAGCUUCCUCCGGC
Long non-coding RNA from Gasterosteus aculeatus aculeatus (three-spined stickleback), 777 nucleotides. NCBI's taxonomy places the organism in Eukaryota, Metazoa, Chordata, Actinopteri, Perciformes, Gasterosteidae. The record is from Ensembl.